RNAcentral lists this ribosomal RNA (939 nucleotides) under human gut metagenome. Its description in RNAcentral is "bacterial SSU rRNA". It matches the Rfam family "Bacterial small subunit ribosomal RNA", at positions 9 to 936 of the family's 1533-position model. The record is from RNAcentral.
GAGUUUGAUCCUGGCUCAGGAUGAACGCUGGCGGCAUGCCUAAUACAUGCAAGUCGAACGAGAGGAAGGAAAGCUUGCUUUUCUGAAUCUAGUGGCGAACGGGUGAGUAACACGUAGGUAACCUGCCCAUGUGCCCGGGAUAACUUCUGGAAACGGAUGCUAAAACCGGAUAGGUAGCAGACAAGCAUUUGACUGCUAUUAAAGUGGCUAAGGCCAUGAACAUGGAUGGACCUGCGGUGCAUUAGCUAGUUGGUGAGGUAACGGCCCACCAAGGCGACGAUGCAUAGCCGGCCUGAGAGGGCGGACGGCCACAUUGGGACUGAGACACGGCCCAAACUCCUACGGGAGGCAGCAGUAGGGAAUUUUCGUCAAUGGGGGGAACCCUGAACGAGCAAUGCCGCGUGAGUGAAGAAGGUCUUCGGAUCGUAAAGCUCUGUUGUAAGAGAAAAACGACAUUCAUAGGGAAUGAUGAGUGAGUGAUGGUAUCUUACCAGAAAGUCACGGCUAACUACGUGCCAGCAGCCGCGGUAAUACGUAGGUGGCGAGCGUUAUCCGGAAUGAUUGGGCGUAAAGGGUGCGUAGGUGGCAGAACAAGUCUGGAGUAAAAGGUAUGGGCUCAACCCGUACUGGCUCUGGAAACUGUUUAGCUAGAGAACAGAAGAGGACGGCGGAACUCCAUGUGUAGCGGUAAAAUGCGUAGAUAUAUGGAAGAACACCGGUGGCGAAGGCGGCCGUCUGGUCUGUUGCUGACACUGAAGCACGAAAGCGUGGGGAGCAAAUAGGAUUAGAUACCCUAGUAGUCCACGCCGUAAACGAUGAGAACUAGGUGUUGGGGGAAUAACUCAGUGCCGCAGUUAACGCAAUAAGUUCUCCGCCUGGGGAGUAUGCACGCAAGUGUGAAACUCAAAGGAAUUGACGGGGGCCCGCACAAGCGGUGGA